GCUGGCGGCAGGCUUACACAUGCAAGUCGAGCGGGGUGAUGGUGCUUGCACUAUCACUUAGCGGCGGACGGGUGAGUAAUGCUUAGGAAUCUGCCUAUUAGUGGGGGACAACAUCUCGAAAGGGAUGCUAAUACCGCAUACGUCCUACGGGAGAAAGCAGGGGAUCACUUGUGACCUUGCGCUAAUAGAUGAGCCUAAGUCGGAUUAGCUAGUUGGUGGGGUAAAGGCCUACCAAGGCGACGAUCUGUAGCGGGUCUGAGAGGAUGAUCCGCCACACUGGGACUGAGACACGGCCCAGACUCCUACGGGAGGCAGCAGUGGGGAAUAUUGGACAAUGGGGGGAACCCUGAUCCAGCCAUGCCGCGUGUGUGAAGAAGGCCUUAUGGUUGUAAAGCACUUUAAGCGAGGAGGAGGCUCUUUUGGUUAAUACCCAAGAUGAGUGGACGUUACUCGCAGAAUAAGCACCGGCUAACUCUGUGCCAGCAGCCGCGGUAAUACAGAGGGUGCAAGCGUUAAUCGGAUUUACUGGGCGUAAAGCGCGCGUAGGCGGCCAAUUAAGUCAAAUGUGAAAUCCCCGAGCUUAACUUGGGAAUUGCAUUCGAUACUGGUUGGCUAGAGUGUGGGAGAGGAUGGUAGAAUUCCAGGUGUAGCGGUGAAAUGCGUAGAGAUCUGGAGGAAUACCGAUGGCGAAGGCAGCCAUCUGGCCUAACACUGACGCUGAGGUGCGAAAGCAUGGGGAGCAAACAGGAUUAGAUACCCUGGUAGUCCAUGCCGUAAACGAUGUCUACUAGCCGUUGGGGCCUUUGAGGCUUUAGUGGCGCAGCUAACGCGAUAAGUAGACCGCCUGGGGAGUACGGUCGCAAGACUAAAACUCAAAUGAAUUGACGGGGGGCCCGCACAAGCGGUGGAGCAUGUGGUUUAAUUCGAUGCAACGCGAAGAACCCUUACCUGGCCUUGACAUAGUAGAAACUUUCCAGAGAUGGAUUGGUGCCUUCGGGAAUCUACAUACAGGUGCUGCAUGGCUGUCGUCAGCUCGUGUCGUGAGAUGUUGGGU
This 1054-nucleotide ribosomal RNA is filed under the name Acinetobacter sp. M.pstv.18.1. RNAcentral's name for it is "bacterial SSU rRNA". It matches the Rfam family "Bacterial small subunit ribosomal RNA", at positions 35 to 1080 of the family's 1533-position model. The record is from RNAcentral. Lineage: Bacteria; Pseudomonadati; Pseudomonadota; Gammaproteobacteria; Moraxellales; Moraxellaceae.